GCCAUCCGUCCCACCUUGACAACGGGCAUUUGGCCACCAAACAUCAAAACAGCGCUCAUCUGGAGGAGAAUCCUGAAAGUGUCACGGAUGUUAAUGGCAUUGAACUCCUUAAAACUCUCAGCGCAAUCUCCCCCUUGCAACAAAAAAGCAUUGCCCAUUGCAGCCUCACUGAGCCUCUCCUCUAAGCUCCUAGCCUCACCAGCGAACACAAUAGGAGGGAAAGCAUCCAGGGUCAUGAGCACCGAUUCGAACUCCUCCCUAUCAGGGUAUUCAGGAAGCUGCAAAGCCUUCUUCAAUUUCCAGCUGUCCACGCUCCAUUUCCCAGGAUCAUUGGUAGUGGGCGCAGCCGCAGCUGCUGGUGAUGAUGUAGAUGUUUUUGUCAACUGUUGUUUCCCAGCUUUAUCGGAGACAAUGGGAUUAUUAGAGGGCUCGGCUGCAUGGACGGCGGAGAUGUGGAGGACGGAUCGGGAGGGGUUGGUGAAAAAAGAAGGUUGG
This 495-nucleotide unclassified non-coding RNA is filed under the name Hevea brasiliensis (rubber tree). Lineage: Eukaryota; Viridiplantae; Streptophyta; Magnoliopsida; Malpighiales; Euphorbiaceae. The record is from RNAcentral.